This is a long non-coding RNA of Crotalus tigris (Tiger rattlesnake), 5264 nucleotides long. RefSeq lists it as uncharacterized. The transcript is spliced from 3 exons. NCBI's taxonomy places the organism in Eukaryota, Metazoa, Chordata, Lepidosauria, Squamata, Viperidae. The record is from RefSeq and is a predicted model, not a curated record.
AGUGAGGCCUGGAGGCUGUUGCCAGCUACAUGCCUGGGAACGUAAAUGAACUCACUCAGGGAAAGUUGUUUGUAAUAAUUUGCUUCCUCUCCAAUUCUCUUGCCCCAGCACAUACUUGAAGGGGAUAAGUUCUACCCAGUCAGUGACAAACGCAGCAGAAGCAAAGAGAGAAAAAAAUAUAUAUUUGGAAGUAGUAUUUUUGAAGCCAUAGGAUGGAGUCACUCCCGGCACACUGCAGCCCACAAAGUUUAGAAUCUGAAGAGAGAAGCACUUCCCUGACCUGACUUGAGACACCUUGUGAUUUUUUUUAGUUUGAGAAAACUUCAUUUGACCAGGAUAAGAACCAUAUAAGCAUAGGAAAAGCAGCAUACAAAAUUCACAUAAAUGAUUUCUUUCCCUUAUCCUAAACUUUUCUUGAUCUUUUUGACUCUUUCUCUUUUUCUGGAUAUAAAUGAACAAAGAUGAUAUAGGAUAUUUUUCCCACCCAUUUGCGUUUUUCAGUCUGAUUGGACUUUUCAAAUAAGGACUAUGUUAGAUAUUUAGAGUAGACACUGAAGUCAUAAAGAAGGUUGGGCACGAUGAGGAAAUAUGAAGUCUUGGAAACCAUAUCCAAAGUUGGAAGCUAGAAUUUCUAGUGCACCUUUCUCUAACUGUUAUCCAUUUAGACUAAGAGGUAUUAAAGAUUGGAUAAAAUAUUGGCAUACACAGGGGUCCCCAACUCCCAGUCUGUGGACUGGUAUUGGUCCACAACCUGUUGGGAAAUGGUCCAUGCAAGCAGCAGGUAAGCAUGCAGAGCUUCAUUUGCAUGAGGUCUAGAUUUUGUGCUCAUGAAACCAGCCCCUCCCUCCCACCGCCAUGUACUACCAACGCCACCGCUAGUCCAUGAAGCCAGAAAGGUUGAGGACUGCUGGUAUAGCACAUAGUGGAGAUUAAUUUGGAACAUUUUAGGGAGAAACUUAGUGAAAAGGGAAAGAGCCCGUUUUAUCCAAAUGGAGCAAAACUGCUUGAACUUAUCAUCAAAAAAUUGUUAAGCAGAUUUUGGGGAGAAUUCAAUGAAUCUGAAAACCUAAAGACCACAUAUACAUUUAAUAAACAAAAACAAUAACAAUUAUUAUGGUUUAUCACACAGUCAAACAGAUAUUUAGAUUGGAUUUAGUAUUUUUAUCCACUUAUGGGGUUUUUCCCAAGGACCCGGGAUAGUGAGAUGUUGUUGUUUGAUGACAUUACUAUUCUGAAGAGAUGACAGUAUUUUUUUUUUUUGUUUCCCCAAUAGAAGAUAGGUCAGAAAUAGGACAUAAACUAAUAGCAGAACAUGAUAUCCAAAAAGCCCAAAGGGAAGUCAAGCAGCAAAAAUAUUUGGAGAACAAUCCCAUAUUAGUGUUUUUAUACUAAUGCUAGAAGUUUCAAAUUGUUCCCAAAUGCUUGUUGCAAUGUCAUAUUAAUAGGUCUGUAAAGUACAAGGAUGUAAAGAAAAUCUAAACAUUCAUCAGUAAAUGAAUGGCAAACAUACACGUAAAUAAUAAUAAUCAUUCACAAGCAGAGUUCAGAUUUUCACCAAAACAUUUUUCACCUGCCUUCAGUCAGUGAUAUCAUGGGUGAUAAAAUAACUAUCAUGGCAGUAAUAAGCUAAAUACUAUUUGUUGUGAUCAACAACAACACUAACUCUGCCACUAUAAUAAUGGCAUUUUGCAAUUUUAAGUACCUUCAAGGAGAAAACAAGGAAUGGGUGAGUGGGCCGUUUGUUUUAAUGAUUUCUACAUAGGUAACUGAUGUUGUGUGUUGAAGCAGAAAUGGAAGAUCUCCUGUAACAUACUGUAAAAGACUAUCUUGUGAGAUAAUCUUUUAUGGAGUAUAGCAGACUUGAAAUGCAGGCAUAAAGAAAUGAAGAAAACCAGUAAUAGAAGGUCAUCAUUGGAUACAAACUGUAAAAAACUGGGUGUCAAUGCUGCAAAUAUUGUAUAUUUGAGAUUAAUCGUGUUGGGCUCAACAUCACAAUUUGUUUGUUUAUGAAUUUUAUUUGCCGCCCAUCUCAUAUCCAAUGACUCUGGGCAGCUACAAUAGCAUAUCUUGAAUGUAAAUUGGAGGUCAAACACUAUCACCAUCCCCAACUGCUUGCUAGAAAUGGUAUACCUUUGUGUCACAGAAAGCAUGGUAACCAAUACAGCAAAUUUCUCAAAAGGAAAAAAACUACCCCCAUGGAAUUAUUGUUAGUUAUGCUAUCAAAUUCUCCAAAUUGUUUUAUGCUGCGGGCAUGCUAUUGUCCACCUGCCCAAAAUAUUAGGAGUGACCCUGAAAUGGACAAUUUAAUCAGGGAGGCAUCCCAAAAGACAUACUGUGUAAACUGAGGUAAUAUCAAUUGUCGUAAUAGAAAAGAAGCAACAUUCUUUCACUUCCAAGGAUGGACCUGAAUCCCUUUCUACAGGAUAGGACACAUCUAUACAGCACGCAAGAUAUAGUAAGACAUAUACAGUAAGUGUUUCACUGACCAAAAACACGAUCCCAAUACUGUCAAACUUUAUUUAAAUGUCACAGGGAAAAUGUGCAGAAAAUCCAGCUUAUGUCAGAAUUUUUUUUUAAAAGAGUGGGGGGGGGGACAAGUAAAAAGGAAACAAAGAAAAUGGAGUGUGAAAACUCUUGAGAUUAAUCAUGUUGGGCUCAACAUCACAAUUUGUUUAUUUAUGAACUUUAUUUGCCGCCCAUCUCAUAUCCAAUGACUCUGUGCAGCUAUAAUAGCAUAGCUUGAAUGUAAAUUGCAGGUCAAACACUAUCACCAUCCCCAAGAGGAUAGGCAGUGUUAAGGAAGCUAAGAUUUUAGAUUCCUUUAGAUUAGAGAUGGGCAACUGAGGGUCUAUGGCCACAUGUAAUGAUUAUACCUUACUUGUAUCCUGAAACUCCCAAGACUAUUUCCAUCAAAACUUAGCAGUAAAGUUCUGAAUUUCAAAAACACACUUUUGAGUAGGAGGGGCUGGUGGGUUGAUUGGUGGAAAGGGUAGCAAUUUGAUUUCUAGAACCUUCUAUUCCCAUUCCCAUUCUCUUAAUCUCCCUCAAAAAGAAACAAACAAAAGCAGGUAAAAGAAAUGCAGCAUGGCUCUUCUGCUGACCUUACUACGUCACCAGAUAUCUUUUUUGCAGUCCUACAGAAACUGGAAAGUUUUAAUUCUUCAGCUCUGUUUUAGAAAAUGGAUGCCUUACUAAAAAAAUAAAAAUGAAAAUGAAAAGCUUCAAAUUCAGAGGUCAUAAUCAUUUCAGUAUUAGUUGCUGAGAAACACUAGUGAGAAAGCAUUAUUUCAUUCUGUUUUAUUAGUGAGCUUCACAAAAGCAUCAAGUUGGUCUCUAUGAAAGGAAUAGGUGGUAAAAUUGGCCUAUUGAUCCAGUGCAACCCUUAUGUUCUUACUGUUGGAGCUUAACUACUCAGUGCUGGAGGCAGGAAAAAUAGCCUACAUUGCAUUUCCAAUAUUAGUAUUAGACCUUCAAAUGUGGUGGUGGGAGGGGUUUGUUAACCCUGUUGAGUUAAAAUGUGACAAUUUCAGGAGCUUUUGUUUGUUCCUGUAAUCUUAUGAAUUGCUUGCUUUAGCCUUGAAAGUGUAGAGUAUUUAUGAUGGAAAGUGAAUCAUAAAGGGAAAAAGUUUCUGGAGAGCUGAAUAUGAUUUCAUUUCUAAAGUUUUAAACAACAGGUCUUGGCUUAUGAAUGAUCCAAGAUGCCUGAUCCCAAAAUCUUGAUGACAAUGCAGUCAGGUAUCUUCUGAGCUCCUGUGGGCCAGGUAAAGUUGUUGGGAGCAUGUCCUUCCCCUCUAGUCAAAUGGUACUGCCCAUCACAACCAUUUUGACUUGGACUGCAAGAGACCCAGACAUCUGACUUAAGUUUGCCUGACUUGUCUUCACAAAGCAUGAUUCAGACUUUAGGUGUACCCAACUGUGGCUCUGUUCUGCCAGCACCGGAGCUACCUUGCAGAUCUCUGAUGCAUUUGGUUGUUGUUAGUUGCGAAGUCGUGUCUGACCCAUUGCGACCCCAUAGACAACAUUCCUCCAAGCCUUCCUGUCCUCUACCAUCUUCUGGAGUCCAUUUAAGCUCACUCCUACUGCUUCAGUGACUCCAUCCAGCCAUCUCAUUCUCUGUCGUCCCCUUCUUCUAUUGCCCUCAAUCUUUCCCAGCAUUAGGCUCUUCUCCAGUGAGUCCUUCCUUCUUAUUAGAUGGUCAAAGUAUUUGAAAUGCAUUUGGAGGGGGUAAAAUUGACAGCAGUUCUUCCAAUUUCCUCUUCUAGCUCUAUAGGCACAGCAGCCCCUCUGACAGGUCAGUGGGCUGGAAGAUGGGUCAGGGUAAAGGCAAUGCAGUUCUCUGACUGCACCACCCAGGCUUCUUCAUGCUUCAUUGCCUACCUAUUCUUUGCUUGUCUGCCCAACAAGCUAUCAGCUAGCCUAUUUAUAGACAUAGAUCUAUUGGUCUACCAAAAGAUUCCUAUGUUCAGAAUUAGUCUGACUCUUAGGAUACCAGUGUAUGGCACCUCCAUACUGAAGAACUGUCUCUUGGGCAACUUCAGUCAUUUAUCCAAGACUGUUCCAUCACAUUUUUAAAGAAAAUUUGGUCUAACCAUUAUCAGGAACUGGGUCAGUGUAGGAAAGAUGAAAACUGAAAUGUGCUGUAAUUUAGGACUAAAAUCUAUGUUUGAUAUGAUAAAUGCCCAGACCAUGGGGAAAAGAAACCUCUAUCUUUCUGUGCCCUAACCAACAUUGUAACACUAGUUGAGAGUGGGCUGUUUGAAGGAUACACUGGAGUUUCUUAUCUUAGCAACUGAACAACAGCAUCAAGAUUGCAGGGCCAAUUGCAGUCCCUAUCUGUGGUUGAAUUUUUACCAUUAUCAAUUUCCCAUGUUGUCAAAAGUUCCAACUGAGAAAUAGGAAAAAUUUGGGAAGUGGAGAGAAACUUUGUCUAUUUACAUGUCUUUCUGCGUAGCAAUUUUCCCUUAACGCUCUAGAAUGCAAAGCAGAUUGUAAAUUUGAAUUAGGCUAGGGUAGCCCUGGUGAAAUUUUAAUUCAAAAUAUAAUGGACAUUCUUUAAGUAGAAGAGAUAUAGUGUUGCAAAAUGGUGGUCUUUAGGGAUACCAGAUAAAAUGAACAUACUGAAUUCUACCUUUUCCUUGAUAAUUUUUUGUUAUAUAUGUAGAAUCAAGAUCACGUGAAGUGUUAAUACCACUUUACAAUGCCUUGGUAAGGCCACAUUUCGAAUACUGCAUCCAGUUUUAGUCACCGCGAUAUAAAAAAGAUGU